RNAcentral lists this ribosomal RNA (460 nucleotides) under uncultured bacterium. RNAcentral describes it as "partial 16S ribosomal RNA". It matches the Rfam family "Bacterial small subunit ribosomal RNA", at positions 338 to 795 of the family's 1533-position model. The record is from RNAcentral.
CCUACGGGCGGCAGCAGUGAGGAAUAUUGGUCAAUGGGCGGAAGCCUGAACCAGCCAAGUCGCGUGAGGGAAUAAGGCCCUACGGGUCGUAAACCUCUUUUGCCGGGGAGCAAGGGCGGGGACGUGUCCCGGCCCGGAGAGUACCCGGAGAAAAAGCAUCGGCUAACUCCGUGCCAGCAGCCGCGGUAAUACGGGGGAUGCGAGCGUUAUCCGGAUUUAUUGGGUUUAAAGGGUGCGUAGGCGGAUCGUUAAGUCAGUGGUCAAAUUGAGGGGCUCAACCCCUUCCCGCCAUUGAAACUGGCGCUCUUGAGUGGAAGAGAAGUAUGCGGAAUGCGUGGUGUAGCGGUGAAAUGUAUAGAUAUCACGAAGAACUCCGAUUGCGAAGGCAGCUUACCGGCUCCAUACUGACGCUGAGGCACGAAAGCGUGGGGAUCGAACAGGAUUAGAUACCCGAGUAGUC